GUAAAUAAUAAAGGGCGUAUGGUGGAUGCCUAGGCUCUCAGAGGCGAAGAAGGACGUGAUAAGCUGCGAAAAGCUCCGUUUAGGUGCAAAUAACCUUUGAUGCGGAGAUCUCCGAAUGGGAUAACCCAAUAUGUUGAAGACAUAUUAUACCGUAAGGUAGGCAAACGCAGGGAACUGAAACAUCUAAGUACCUGCAGGAGAAGAAAACAAACGUGAUUCCCCCAGUAGCGGCGAGCGACCGGGGAAAAGCCCAAACCGUUAUUGUUUCGGCAUUAACGGGGUAGUAGGACUGCGACAUUGAUGAAAUAAAUGAAAUGGAACACCUUGGAAAAUGUGAUCACAGAGGGUGAUAAUCCCGUACAUGCAAGUUUAUGAAUCAUAGCAGACUCCUGAGUAAGUCGGGACACGUGUAAUCCUGACCGAAUCCGCCGGGACCAUCCGGCAAGGCUAAAUACUCCUGAGAGACCGAUAGUGAACCAGUACCGUGAGGGAAAGGUGAAAAGCACUUCGAACAGAAGAGUGAAAUAGUCCCUGAACCCAUACGCCUACAAGCUGUCGGAGCCGCUUCGUGCGGUGACGGCGUGCCUUUUGCAUAAUGAGCCUACGAGUUACUCAUCACCAGCGAGGUUAAGUACUUCAGGUACGUAAGCCGAAGCGAAAGCGAGUCUGAAUAGGGCGUCAAGUUGGUGGUGGUAGACGCGAAACCUUAGUGAUCUACCCAUGGGCAGGGUGAAGGUUUGGUAACACAAACUGGAGGCCCGAACCGGUAAACGUUGAAAAGUUUUCGGAUGACCUGUGGGUAGGGGUGAAAGGCCAAUCAAACUGGGAAAUAGCUCGUACUCUCCGAAAUGCAUUUAGGUGCAGCCUCUGUUGUUUUGUUCUAGAGGUAGAGCUACUGAUUGGAUGCGAGGGCUUCACCGCCUAUCAAAUCCGGCCAAACUCCGAAUGCUAGAACAUGAAGACAGGGAGUGAGCCAGCGGGUGCUAAGGUCCGUUGACGAAAGAGGGAGAACUCAGACCAUCAGCUAAGGUCCCCAAUUGUAUGCUAAGUUGGAAUUAAAACGGGGUGGGACUGCUUAGACAGCUAGGAUGUUGGCUUGGAAGCAGCCAUUCAUUUAAAGAGUGCGUAACAGCUCACUAGUCGAGCGGUCCUGCAUGGAUAAUACGCGGGCAUAAGCAUAUAACCGAAGCUAUGGGAUUGUAGAUGAUACAAUCGGUAGGAGAGCAUUCCAUUCAGCGUAGAAGCAGUAUCGUGAGGUAUUGUGGAGCGGAUGGAAAAGCAAAUGUAGGCAUAAGUAACGAUAAUGCGGGUGAGAACCCCGCACGCCGAAAGAUCAAGGAUUCCCCGGCAAUGUCAAUCAUCCGGGGGUAAGUCGGAUCCUAAGGGUAAGCCGAGUGGCGAUCCCGAUGGCAAACAGGUUAAUAUUCCUGUACUGAUCAUAACUGCGAUGCAGCGACGCAGAGGUGACACUGCUGCGUACUGACGGAAUAGUACGUUGAAACCCGUAUUCUUUGAUACCGGUAGUGAAGCACGCCGGUAGAGAUGAAAGGUGAUAGUACCGCAAUGCUUCGGUUGCGCGGAUAACGCAGGUAAGCUGACUGCCAAGAAAACCUGCUAAGCUUCAGGUAAUGAUCAUCCGUACUGUAAACGGACACACGUGAUCAGGUAGAAAAUACUAAGGCGCUCGAGAGAUUCAUGGUUAAGGAACUAGGCAAAAUGGUCCUGUAACUUCGGGAUAAAGGACGCUCUUGUGAAAGAGCCGCAGAUAAUAGGCCCAGGCGACUGUUUACCAAAAACACAUGGCUAUGCUAAUUCGCAAGAAGAUGUAUAUGGCCUGACACCUGCCCGGUGCCGGAAGGUUAAGAGGAGAGCUCAGAGGCAACUCGAAGGUUUGAAUUGAAGCCCCGGUAAACGGCGGCCGUAACUAUAACGGUCCUAAGGUAGCGAAAUUCCUUGUCGGGUAAGUUCCGACCUGCACGAAUGGUGUAACGAUCUGGGCACUGUCUCGACCAUGAGCUCGUCUGAAAUUGAUUCUUGCGUUAAGCGAAAAUCCCGAAUUAGCAGGCGAUCGUAAGACGCUUCAGGAAAUUUUUGACGAAUAGUCAGUUUCCUCCCCAAAACCAACCAUUCUUCCUUUACCUGUUUAAGGUAGCCUCCCGAGCGAACUCGGGGGGCUCUUUUUUUGAAUAAAUUAAAUGGAAUAGCCGGCUUUACGAGCAAAACGAACCGUCGCAUCCAAGAAACCUUGCUUGGAUCCGCAGUCAUAGCGAAUGCCGUCAAAGCGGUGAGAGUACGUUGUAUUCAGAUUCAACUGACCGGCGAUAGCAUCCGUUAAUUGGAUUUCUCCGCCCACGCCCUUUUGAACUUUCUUUAAGCGUUCAAAGAUUUCCGGCUCCAACACAUAACGACCGAUCACAGCAAGGGUUGAAGGCGCGUGAUCAGGAUCAGGUUUUUCAACCAUUUCGUGUACCAGGCUCGUAGUCGCAAGGCCAUCUUCGACUCCAACAAUACCGUACUUUUUCGUAUCAGCCUUCGGCACAUCCUGAACCGCCAAAAUAUUUCCACCGCCCAAUUGCUUGCGCGCUUCAAUUAACUGACCGAUAGCAGACUGUUGAGCAUCAAUUAAGUCAUCGGCCAACAUUACGGCAAAAGGUUCAUCUCCAACCACGGGUUGAGCGCAAAGAACCGCAUGACCCAGUCCCAACGGUUCUGGCUGACGAAUAUAGAUGAAAGUCACGCCCAUCGGCGCAAUAGAGCGAACCGUUUGAAGUAAUUCUGUCUUACCCUUUUCAAUU
This 2795-nucleotide ribosomal RNA is filed under the name human gut metagenome. RNAcentral describes it as "bacterial LSU rRNA". The stretch from base 13 to 2030 matches the Rfam family "Bacterial large subunit ribosomal RNA", at positions 15 to 2044 of the family's 2925-position model. The record is from RNAcentral.